UUUUUUAAAAAAGGUUAAUGUUGUAAUUGCAUUAUAUACGUAACGUUGUGUACUCGUGUUUUUAGGUUUCAAUCUUUGAAUCAAAAAAACCCCAUCGCGUCUCUUCCCAGUCUAUUCAUUCAUAGUUCGUCGGUUUUCCAUCUACUUUCCAGCUGAUCGCCGGAAAAUCGCUAAUCUUACCGUCCAUAAACGCUCAUCUCCACCAUUUUCUUGGUUAGGCAGUGGAAAUACAGGAAAGCAAGAUUACAAAUGAGUGCUGAGAGCGUAUAGGAAGACAUGUUUGUGAAGCUACACAACAAAUAUGAGAUUAGCUUCUGCUUCAACUUUGUCAGCUGUGAUUACUCUUCAGCAUUUAAGCAAUGAUCAAUGAUCUUAAAAUCUGAACUGUCAUCUUGUUGACAGAACUUUGAAGAGGAAAAAUAUGCAUACAGAAUCUACGUAAUCAGCUGCUUCAACUGAAUGUUUAUUUUUCUGUUUUUUUGAUUCUUGAAUUUUGAUUUGAAGUAUAGCACAUUAUUCUAAUAAUAAUCAUCCAAGAAGAUUUCCCUAAUAGGAUUUUAUUCUAUAACUUUUAGCCUGUGAGACUGUAAUGACUUUUACAUUUUGUGCUCUUAUCAAUUGAUGCUAAUUUUGGACUGAAUAACCGAGAUGCGAGAGCAAAAUAUCUCUUGCGGUCUGCUAUGUCUUUUUACAUGAUUGACGACUUAUGGAUUGAUUGACCAUUAAUUAAUGUUUUAAUGUUGACUGCAACGAAUUUGUCAAAAAUUGGCUCAUCAAAUUGUAUAUACUUCAUAUUUGUCGUGAAAUUAGUAGACAAUAAUUGCAUAACAGGUCAGAGGUCAAUAGUGGACCGCCUCUUUGUUAUUUUCAAAUUGCAAGGACAGGUUUACAUACACCUAUCCUCUACGUCAGUGGCGGAAGCCUCCUAGAGGCAUUGAGGUAAUAUCGAUGUGGACAGAAUGUGACUUCACCUGAAACUUAAAGCAACUUUUUAACCCGAUAUUUGGACUUCCCUUAUUCCCAAUGCUAGUUAUUCUUCGCAGGUGGUGCAUUUGGUGGAACCCGAGGUGCGAGACCAGUCCCACCAGAAAAAGGAGUCUUCCCACUGGAUCACAUGCAUGAAUGCGACUUGGAGAAAAAAGAUUACCUCAACUGUCUAAAAAUCGCUGGCCAUACGUCAGGAAAAUGUAAA
RNA transcript from Amaranthus tricolor (Joseph's coat), 1192 nucleotides. RefSeq lists it as uncharacterized. The transcript has 4 exons. The record is from RefSeq and is a predicted model, not a curated record. Lineage: Eukaryota; Viridiplantae; Streptophyta; Magnoliopsida; Caryophyllales; Amaranthaceae.